ACCUAUCAUCGACCGGUAUACCGUUUGAUCGACGAAUUUACCUCCCGUGUUGAGGUCAGGAUGCCCAUUGGUUCCCAUGGGUGUCUUGAUGGGCUUGGCAUCCUUCAUCCCAAACUUGUUUAGAAUGUCUUGAAUGUACUUCGUUUGGCUAAUGAAGGUGCCCCCUUGGAGUUGCUUCACUUGAAAUCCUAAGAAGUACUUCAACUCCCCCAUCAUAGACAUCUCGAAUUUCUGUGUCAUGAUCCUACUAAAUUCCUCACAUGUAGAUUCGUUAGUAGACCCAAAUAUAAUAUCAUCAACAUAAAUUUGGCAUACAAACAAAUCAUUGUCAAGAGUUUUAGUGAAUAAAGUAGGAUCAACCUUUCCGACUUUGAAGCCAUUAGUGAUAAGAAAAUCUCUUAGGCAUUCAUACCAUGCUCUUGGGGCUUGCUUGAGCCCAUAAAGCGCCUUAGAGAGUUUAUAUACAUGGUUAGGGUACUCACUAUCUUCAAAGCCAGGAGGUUUCUCAACAUAGACCUCCUCCUUGAUUGGUCCAUUGAGGAAGGCACUUUUCAUGUCCAUUUGAUAAAGCUUCAAGCCAUGGUAAGUAGCAUAGGCAAGUAAAAUGCGAAUUGACUCAAGCCUAGCUACGGGUGCAUAGGUUUCACCGAAAUCCAAACCUUUGACUUGUGAAUACCCCUUGGCCACAAGUCGGGCUUUGUUCCUUGUCACCACACCAUGCUCAUCUUGCUUGUUGCGGAAGACCCACUUGGUUCCUACAAUAUUUUGAUUAGGACGUGGAACUAAAUGCCAUACCUCGUUCCUAGUGAAAUUGUUGAGCUCCUCUUGCAUCGCCACAACCUAAUUCGAAUCUUGUAAUGCUUCCUCUACCCUAUGUGGCUCAAUAGAGGAAACAAAAGAGUAAUGUUCACAAAAAUGUGCAACACGAGAUCUAGUGGUUAUCCCCUUAUGAAUGUCGCCGAGGAUGGUGUCGACGGGGUGAUCUCGUUGGAUUGCUUGGUGGACUCUUGGGUGUGGUGGUUUUGAAACUUGUUCAUCUUCCUCAUCUUGAUCAUGGGGCAUCUCCCCCUUGAUCAUUGCUCCUCCUCUGGAGGUGGCUCAACAUUUUGAUUUUCUCCUUCAUCAUUUUGAGCUCCAUCCUUGUUGGGGGGCCUUCGGCUUCCGAAGGUCCUCAAAAACAUGAUUUGACAAUGUUUUCCAAGUAUGCGAGCAGGCAUCUUCAGAAUCAGGUUACGGGUAUACAAGAGCAUGGUCAAGACGAAGCUUGACUGGGAUGGAAGGCGAUCAUGACGAAGGAUGAGAUGAUCACGAAGCUAUAUGCAGAAAAGCUUCGGCAUGACAGCAGAAAAAGGAAACCGACUUAAAGAUGAAAAGCCAAAUUAGACCUCGAAGAAUUACUAGAGUUAUUGAUAAAUGUAAAGGGCAUUAAUGUAAUUUUACACGGGCUGCGUCCCGUGCCUAUAAAUAGAUGAACAGUAUUCCUGUACUGUUCACGCUGACUGGGCAUUCGCUUUAGCAUCACACUUGUACCCUUACUUUCCUUCAAGUCGAAGGUACAUUUGUAAUUUGUCGUUGUUUAUACAAGUAAUAUAAUAAAAGGAAUUAAUAAUAAUGUUCAAAUUAAUCAUGUUAUUUUCCGUGUUUUGUGUAUAAAUCUCUCUCAUCUUUUAUUAUGAUUAUGAAGGUGUGACCUUCAUAACCUUCGUCCGAAAUUUCUUAUAUCCGAAAGGGAAAUAAUGCUUCGAAGGACGAAGGGCUUUGAUAUUUAACAUUUUAUGUUGCCUUGUUCUUAAUUCAUAGCAUUUGAGAACAAGUCUCCAACAUUGGCG
This 1829-nucleotide long non-coding RNA is filed under the name Zea mays. RNAcentral describes it as "drought responsive lncRNA". The record is from RNAcentral. Lineage: Eukaryota; Viridiplantae; Streptophyta; Magnoliopsida; Poales; Poaceae.